ACGGAGGUGGCAAACGCUGUUCGGAAUCACUGGGCUUAAAGGGCGUGUAGGCGGCCGAUCAAGUCGGGUGUGAAAUCCCUCGGCUCAACCGAGGAACUGCAUCCGAUACUGGUCAGCUAGAGUGCGAGAGGGGUGAGUGGAACUCCAGGUGUAGCGGUGAAAUGCGUAGAUAUCUGGAGGAACGCCGGUGGCGAAAGCGACUCACUGGCUCGCAACUGACGCUGAGGCGCGAAAGCUAGGGGAGCGAACGGG
Molecule: ribosomal RNA, 252 nt
Filed under: uncultured bacterium
Lineage: Bacteria
Description: partial 16S ribosomal RNA
Rfam family: Bacterial small subunit ribosomal RNA
Source: RNAcentral